Molecule: long non-coding RNA, 405 nt
Organism: Drosophila eugracilis
Lineage: Eukaryota; Metazoa; Arthropoda; Insecta; Diptera; Drosophilidae
Exons: 2
Source: RefSeq, a predicted model, not a curated record
GCGACCCAUUUUUAAAACCCCCUUUCCAAGUUCAGAAUCAGUGGCAACUCGUGUCUGAAAGAAUCAAGAAGCAAGCUUGAAAGAUCUAUAUAAAAUGAAAUUAGUGUCGAUAUUGGCUAUAGUCCUAUACAUUUUAAUGGGCAUUCUGGACAAAGUAUCCUUCUCUUGCAUAUACAUAUAGAUUAUGCAGUCAAAAAACGGAUGGCCGUUGCACUUGUGAAGAUAUUACUAUGCCUGGAGCCAGCUAUGAAGACUAUGAAGAACCAACCGAAUAAAAACCAAUAGAAAUUCGGAGCCAGAAAUUUGGUCAACCUAAAACGUAUACCGUGUGGAAGUCAACAUCAUUCUUGGCCACUUCAAAAUGUUUAAAAUAUGCAAAAAGCAAUAAUAAAUGGAUUGUCACUA